GACAGAGGGUGCAAACGUUGUUCGGAAUUACUGGGCGUAAAGCGCGUGUAGGCGGCCAUCUAAGUCGGGCGUGAAAUCCCACGGCUCAACCGUGGAAGUGCACUCGAAACUGGAUGGCUAGAAUCCUGGAGAGGAAGGUGGAAUGCUUGGUGUAGAGGUGAAAUUCGUAGAUAUCAAGCGGAACACCGGUGGCGAAGGCGGCCUUCUGGACAGUGACUGACGCUGAGACGCGAAAGCGUGGGGAGCAAACAGG
Molecule: ribosomal RNA, 253 nt
Filed under: uncultured bacterium
Lineage: Bacteria
Description: partial 16S ribosomal RNA
Rfam family: Bacterial small subunit ribosomal RNA
Source: RNAcentral